CCUUCCUCACAGAGUUUGAUCAUGGCUCAGGACGAACGCUGCCGCGUGCCCUAAUACAUGCAAGUCGAGCGGACCGACGGGAGCUUGCUCCCUUAGGUCAGCGGCGGACGGGUGAGUAACACGUGGGUAACCUGCCUGUAAGACUGGGAUAACUCCGGGAAACCGGGGCUAAUACCGGAUGCUUGAUUGAACCGCAUGGUUCAAUCAUAAAAGGUGGCUUUCAGCUACCACUUGCAGAUGGACCCGCGGCGCAUUAGCUAGUUGGUGAGGUAACGGCUCACCAAGGCGACGAUGCGUAGCCGACCUGAGAGGGUGAUCGGCCACACUGGGACUGAGACACGGCCCAGACUCCUACGGGAGGCAGCAGUAGGGAAUCUUCCGCAAUGGACGAAAGUCUGACGGAGCAACGCCGCGUGAGUGAUGAAGGUUUUCGGAUCGUAAAACUCUGUUGUUAGGGAAGAACAAGUACCGUUCGAAUAGGGCGGUACCUUGACGGUACCUAACCAGAAAGCCACGGCUAACUACGUGCCAGCAGCCGCGGUAAUACGUAGGUGGCAAGCGUUGUCCGGAAUUAUUGGGCGUAAAGCGCGCGCAGGCGGUUUCUUAAGUCUGAUGUGAAAGCCCCCGGCUCAACCGGGGAGGGUCAUUGGAAACUGGGGAACUUGAGUGCAGAAGAGGAGAGUGGAAUUCCACGUGUAGCGGUGAAAUGCGUAGAGAUGUGGAGGAACACCAGUGGCGAAAGGCGACUCUCUGGUCUGUAACUGACGCUGAGGCGCGAAAGCGUGGGGAGCGAACAGGAUUAGAUACCCUGGUAGUCCACGCCGUAAACGAUGAGUGCUAAGUGUUAGAGGGUUUCCGCCCUUUAGUGCUGCAGCAAACGCAUUAAGCACUCCGCCUGGGGAGUACGGUCGCAAGACUGAAACUCAAAGGAAUUGACGGGGGCCCGCACAAGCGGUGGAGCAUGUGGUUUAAUUCGAAGCAACGCGAAGAACCUUACCAGGUCUUGACAUCCUCUGACAACCCUAGAGAUAGGGCUUCCCCUUCGGGGGCAGAGUGACAGGUGGUGCAUGGUUGUCGUCAGCUCGUGUCGUGAGAUGUUGGGUUAAGUCCCGCAACGAGCGCAACCCUUGAUCUUAGUUGCCAGCAUUCAGUUGGGCACUCUAAGGUGACUGCCGGUGACAAACCGGAGGAAGGUGGGGAUGACGUCAAAUCAUCAUGCCCCUUAUGACCUGGGCUACACACGUGCUACAAUGGGCAGAACAAAGGGCAGCGAAGCCG
RNAcentral lists this ribosomal RNA (1278 nucleotides) under Bacillus licheniformis. RNAcentral describes it as "bacterial SSU rRNA". It matches the Rfam family "Bacterial small subunit ribosomal RNA", at positions 1 to 1257 of the family's 1533-position model. Lineage: Bacteria; Bacillati; Bacillota; Bacilli; Caryophanales; Bacillaceae. The record is from RNAcentral.